ACCAGACUCCUACGGGAGGCAGCAGUGGGGAAUAUUGGGCAAUGGGCGCAAGCCUGACCCAGCAACGCCGCGUGAAGGAAGAAGGCUUUCGGGUUGUAAACUUCUUUUAAGAGGGAAGAGUAGAAGACGGUACCUCUUGAAUAAGCCACGUCUAACUACGUGCCAGCAGCCGCGGUAAUACGUAGGUGGCAAGCGUUGUCCGGAUUUACUGGGUGUAAAGGGAGCGUAGGCGGCCCGGCAAGCCUGAUGUGAAAUCCCGGGGCCCAACCCCGGGGCUGCAUUGGGAACUGCCAGGCUGGAGUGCCGGAGAGGCAGGCGGAAUUCCUAGUGUAGCGGUGAAAUGCGUAGAUAUUAGGAGGAACACCAGUGGCGAAGGCGGCCUGCUGGACGGUGACUGACGCUGAGGCUCGAAAGCGUGGGGAGCAAACAGGAUUAGAUACCCGAGUA
Molecule: ribosomal RNA, 447 nt
Filed under: uncultured bacterium
Lineage: Bacteria
Description: bacterial SSU rRNA
Rfam family: Bacterial small subunit ribosomal RNA
Source: RNAcentral